This 978-nucleotide long non-coding RNA is filed under the name Androctonus crassicauda. The record is from RNAcentral. Lineage: Eukaryota; Metazoa; Arthropoda; Arachnida; Scorpiones; Buthidae.
ACAUGUUCUGAUUCAAAAACAACACUUUGCAACUCAUUUAGAAAGUCAAGAUUAUACUUUAAGACUUUUGAAGUAUUCAGAAAGUGUCAAACUGAACUCAACACAUAAGCUUGCUAGGUUCCAGAGCAUUCAGAAAAACGUAAGUAAUGAGUUAGCGGACGUCCUGGCUCGGUCAGCACACUAUAAUAGAAAUAUUUAAUAUACUGUGUGUUCAUGUGUGCACUUAUCAAGAUUAAGGGUUUUUUAACCAAACUUUAUUAAAUAUUUGGAAAGAAAUAUGGAAAAUGGACAAGAAGGGCUAUAUAACUCAUACCUACUUUCCAGCAGUAAGAGGCAGAUUAAAGAUUACAAACACUCGAGUUGAAUUAACUAAAUUCUUAACAAACAAUGUUAGAUUAAAUAACUACCUUCACUGUUUUCAGAUUAUUGACAGUGAUAAGUGUAAUUGCAAAUCUGAAGAACCAGGUAAUUUCGAACAUAUUAUUAAUGAUUGUAUCACUUUUUCUCCACGACCCGAUUAAAAAUCACCUUCAAGAAAGUAGCGUAGCAUGCCAUUCCAGAAAGAUUUAAAUUUGUUCUUUUUUCAACUCUGUCAUUUUAUCACAUACAAUAGUUAAUAUAAUAUCACAAAAUAUAUUUCAAAAUUAUUCUUAAAUACAUAGAAGAUAAUUUUUCCGUAUACAAUUCCGUGUGAUAAAAUAUAAACAAACUUCAUUUCAGAUAUGCAAUAUCUCACGAUCGUAAUUAUGGAUAUAGUACAGGCUUAAUUCAAAUCCAACAUAGAAUUCCCUUUCAAAUAAAACAUUCAAUGAAUAGGUAUGAUAUAAAGAUAAUGAUCGAAUACAAAUUUAUACUGAAUAAUAUCCUGUAUCAUAAUCAGUAAUAAUUAUUUUAGCUAAGUAAAUUUGUAAAAAUUCAUUAAUAAUAAUGCAGGUCUGUUGUCACUUACUUUGACUUUCUCGAAAUUCACGAAGUUCC